RNAcentral lists this ribosomal RNA (449 nucleotides) under uncultured bacterium. Its description in RNAcentral is "partial 16S ribosomal RNA". It matches the Rfam family "Bacterial small subunit ribosomal RNA", at positions 29 to 523 of the family's 1533-position model. The record is from RNAcentral.
AACGAACGCUGGCGGCAUGCUUAACAUAUGCAAGUCGAACGAGACCUUCGGGUCUAGUGGCGCACGGGUGCGUAACGCGUGGGAAUCUGCCCUUAGGUACGGAAUAACUCAGAGAAAUUUGUGCUAAUACCGUAUGAUGUCGAAAGACCAAAGAUUUAUCGCCUAAGGAUGAGCCCGCGUAAGAUUAGCUUGUUGGUGAGGUAAAAGCUCACCAAGGCGACGAUCUUUGGCUGGUCUGAGAGGAUGAUCAGCCACACUGGGACUGAGACACGGCCCAGACUCCUACGGGAGGCAGCAGUGGGGAAUAUUGGACAAUGGGCGAAAGCCUGAUCCAGCAAUGCCGCGUGAGUGAUGAAGGCCUUAGGGUUGUAAAGCUCUUUUACCAGGGAUGAUAAUGACAGUACCUGGAGAAUAAGCUCCGGCUAACUACGUGCCAGCAGCCGCAGUAA